CGCCGCCAUCUUGGGCCUGUCUGGUGGGGUUCGGCUUCUCGCUAGGUUUCUGACCUUCCCCACAGCGGUCCGUGGCCUCCUCCUUGCUGGCCUCUGGGCGUCCCGUUAGAGCCUCAGUAACUACCCACCCUGACCCAAGGACCACCGGGGGGGCAUGUGGGGAGGCCGCCUUGAUGACCCUCCUUCCCCGAGAUGUGAGCCAGUGGUUGGGUACCUACCCCUUUCUUUCAGGCACUAACUCCAGUUCCGCUCAAGUACACCAAUGCGAAAUACAAGAGGCUUCACUUUACAGAAGCUCAUCUGAUAAGGGGUUGGGUUAAAAAGUCAGCAGGGCCUGGGCAUUUGAAACAGUACCCAGAGGAGACUGGAUAUCCUGAAGUCAAACUUCUCGAAUUCCACAAAUUGGCCUCAGGUGGAGGACUCUGCUGUGAGAGAUGGGAGUCCCAGAUAAGGGGUCACACCAGCAAAACCUACCUGCCAACCAGAAGCAAAUGACAAUGAAGUGAGCAAGACAUUGGUUACUGUUGAAUUAAGUCCCUGACAUUUUGGAAUAUCAUUGUUACAGUACCUAGCAAUAGUCUAAGCAAUAUAUAUGCCAUCCGUGUUCUGGAAUAUGGAGACAUAGCAACCGGUCUUCAGGGAGGCAAUGUUUGCAAAUGUUUCCUCACUUUCCC
This 674-nucleotide long non-coding RNA is filed under the name Mustela putorius furo (domestic ferret). RNAcentral describes it as "lncRNA (ENSMPUG00000028995.1)". The record is from RNAcentral. Lineage: Eukaryota; Metazoa; Chordata; Mammalia; Carnivora; Mustelidae.